RNAcentral lists this ribosomal RNA (1455 nucleotides) under uncultured Acaryochloris sp. RNAcentral describes it as "bacterial SSU rRNA". It matches the Rfam family "Bacterial small subunit ribosomal RNA". Lineage: Bacteria; Bacillati; Cyanobacteriota; Cyanophyceae; Acaryochloridales; Acaryochloridaceae. The record is from RNAcentral.
GAUGAACGCUGGCGGCCUGCUUAACACAUGCAAGUCGAACGGCAGCACGAGGAGCUUGCUCCUUGGUGGCGAGUGGCGGACGGGUGAGUAACGCGUGAGGAUCUGCCCUUAGGUGGGGGACAACAGUUGGAAACGACUGCUAAUACCCCAUAUGCCGAGAGGUGAAAGAUUUAUUGCCUGAGGAUGAACUCGCGUCUGAUUAGCUAGAGGUGGGGUAAUGGCCUACCUAGGCAACGAUCAGUAGCUGGUCUGAGAGGACGAUCAGCCACACUGCAACUGAGACACGGUCCAGACUCCUACGGGAGGCAGCAGUGGGGAAUUUUCCGCAAUGGGGCGAAAGCCUGACGGGAGCAAUACCGCGUGCGGGAGGAAGGCCCUUGGGGUCGUAAACCGCUUUUAACAGGGAAGAAAAACUGACGGGACCUGUUGAAGAAGCCCGCGGCUAAACUCCCGUGCCAGCAGCCGCGGGUAAGAACGGAGGGAGGCAAGCCGUUAUCCGGAAAUAAUGGGGCGUAAAGCGGCCCGCAGGGUGGGCUUACCAAGGCUGUUGUUAAAGCCCAGGGCUCAACCCUGGAUCAGCAGUGGAAACUGGUAGGCUAGAGUGCGGUAGGGGCAGAGGGAAUUCCCAGUGUAGCGGUGAAAUGCGUAGAUAUUGGGAAGAACACCAGUGGCGAAGGCGCUCUGCUGGACCGCAACUGACACUCAUGGACGAAAGCUAGGGGAGCGAAAGGGAUUAGAUACCCCUGUAGUCCUAGCCGUAAACGAUGAACACUAGGUGUUGGACGUAUCGACCCGUUCAGUGCCGUAGCCAACGCGUUAAGUGUUCCGCCUGGGGAGUACGCACGCAAGUGUGAAACUCAAAGGAAUUGACGGGGGCCCGCACAAGCGGUGGAGUAUGUGGUUUAAUUCGAUGCAACGCGAAGAACCUUACCAGGGCUUGACAUGUCGCGAACUUUCUGGAAACAGAUUGGUGCCUUCGGGAGCGCGAACACAGGUGGUGCAUGGCUGUCGUCAGCUCGUGUCGUGAGAUGUUGGGUUAAGUCCCGCAACGAGCGCAACCCACGUUUUUAGUUGCCAUCAUUAAGUUGGGCACUCUAGAGAGACUGCCGGUGACAAACCGGAGGAAGGUGUGGAUGACGUCAAGUCAGCAUGCCCCUUACGCCCUGGGCUACACACGUACUACAAUGGUUGGGACAAAGGGUUGCAAACUCGCGAGAGCUAGCUAAUCCCAUAAACCCAGCCUCAGUUCAGAUUGCAGGCUGCAACUCGCCUGCAUGAAGUAGGAAUCGCUAGUAAUCGCAGGUCAGCAUACUGCGGUGAAUACGUUCCCGGGCCUUGUACACACCGCCCGUCACACCAUGGAAGUUGGCCACGCCCGAAGUCGUUACUCCAACCGCUUGCGGAGGGGGACGCCGAAGGUAGGGCUGAUGACUGGGGUGAAGUCGUAACAAGGUA